Molecule: small nuclear RNA, 111 nt
Organism: Eptesicus fuscus (big brown bat)
Lineage: Eukaryota; Metazoa; Chordata; Mammalia; Chiroptera; Vespertilionidae
Source: RefSeq, a predicted model, not a curated record
UUGUACUCUGACUUCAGCAACAUAUAUACUAAAAUUGACAUGAUACAGAGAAGAUCAGCAUGGUCCCUGUGCAAGAAUAACACACAAAUCCAUGAAAAAAUAAACAAAAUU